CCCUUAGAUGUUCUGGGCCGCACGCGCGCUACACUGAUUCAUGCAACAAGUUUUGUCCUUGGCUGAUAGGCCUGGGUAGUCUUUGAACGUGAAUCGUGAUGGGGAUAGAUGAUUGCAAUUAUUCAUCUUCAACGAGGAAUUCCUAGUAAACGCAAGUCAUCAGCUUGCAUCGAUUACGUCCCUGCCCUUUGUACACACCGCCCGUCGCACCUACCGAUUGAAUGGUCCGGUGAAAUCUUCGGAUCUGAGAGAUGUCUGAUUAAUUUCGGACGCCUUUUGGAAAAGUUGCUUAAACCUUACCAUUUAGAGGAAGGUGAAGUCGUAACA
This 327-nucleotide ribosomal RNA is filed under the name uncultured eukaryote. RNAcentral describes it as "partial 18S ribosomal RNA". It matches the Rfam family "Eukaryotic small subunit ribosomal RNA", at positions 1470 to 1796 of the family's 1831-position model. The record is from RNAcentral.